CUGUGAAAUGGCCACCAAGACGGACGCAUCAGCAAUCCCGUGAGAUGAGAGAGAUGAGACGUCUAUGAUGUCUUAGAAGCAACAUCUGAAUCACUCAGGAUGUUCCAAAAGAAAGAUGGCCACAAAGAAGAGCAAGGGAAUAGACCGUGUGGCCAGGUGCUUGAGCCUUUGUCUAUUUCUCUGUAUUUUCCUACCCCCACCCCCCAGUACUAGAGUGUGCAGCAGCAGCAUACUGAAGGCCAGUGUCCGGUUGUAAAGAUCACACACAGAAGACACAUUAGAAGAGUCCCUUCCUCAUCGGCAUGGGGUGUGUCCUGUGUGAGCUCCCUGAAUGUUGAUUGGAAUGGGAAGUCCUACUUGUAUUCCCUCCUGCCUGCUCCAUUCCUUUUGAGUGACAUGUCUGGGGUCAGGGCUGAGAGCAUGGGGGAGGAUGCAGACCUCAGAGUGGGAGAGUCACCCCAAGGCUCAACUAACACCAGAACCUCGUCCUUGGUGUCUCAGUGGGCAAGGCUGGGCUUGUCAUCUUGCCCAGCCUCUGGUGGAGGCAGCAUAGACUUGGUGACAGCUUCCUCGGAAGAGAUGAAUGAAGCAAUUGUGUACUUGGUGCAGAGAAGAUUCCAGAUGGAGGAGGUGUUUUCAAUGGCAAUAACCCGGAGAUGGAAUAUUUCAAUGAGUCAACAAACAGAGAUAUUGGCA
This 696-nucleotide long non-coding RNA is filed under the name Cricetulus griseus (Chinese hamster). Its description in RNAcentral is "lncRNA (ENSCGRG00015043425.1)". The record is from RNAcentral. Lineage: Eukaryota; Metazoa; Chordata; Mammalia; Rodentia; Cricetidae.